RNAcentral lists this ribosomal RNA (497 nucleotides) under uncultured bacterium. RNAcentral describes it as "partial 16S ribosomal RNA". It matches the Rfam family "Bacterial small subunit ribosomal RNA", at positions 28 to 507 of the family's 1533-position model. The record is from RNAcentral.
GAUGAACGCUGGCGGCGUGCCUAAUACAUGCAAGUCGAGCGAACAGAUGAGGAGCUUGCUCCUCUGACGUUAGCGGCGGACGGGUGAGUAACACGUGUAUAACCUACCUAUAAUACUGGGAUAACUUCGGGAAACCGGAGCUAAUACCGGAUAAUAUAUUGAACCGCAUGGUUCAAUAGUGAAAGACGGUUUUGCUGUCACUUAUAGAUGGAUCCGCGCCGCAUUAGCUAGUUGGUAGGGUAACGGCUUACCAAGGCGACGAUGCGUAGCCGAGGUGAGAGGGGGGUCGGCCGCACGGGAAGUGGGACGGGGUCAUGGGUCCUGCGGGAGGCAGCAGUAGGGAAUGUUCGGCAGUGGGGGGAAGCCUGACGGAGCGGGGCCGCGUGAGUGAUGGAGGUCUUCGGAGCGUGAUGCUGUGUUAUGGGGGAAGAACAAAUGUGUAAGGAGCUAUGCACGUCUUGACGGUAACUAAUCAGAAAGCAACGGCUAACUACGUG